Molecule: long non-coding RNA, 3639 nt
Organism: Eriocheir sinensis (Chinese mitten crab)
Lineage: Eukaryota; Metazoa; Arthropoda; Malacostraca; Decapoda; Varunidae
Exons: 2
Source: RefSeq, a predicted model, not a curated record
AUUAGCUUAUGACUAUUAAUUAUGGCUAUUAUUAAGACUACUAUUAUUACUAUAGCUAGGACCACUAUCAUUACUGUUAUCAAUAGCGAUGUUUUUCUUAAUUACCUCCUCGUGCAGCUAGUGGAUGUUGAUAUUGAUGGUAAUGAUGAUGCCGAAGAAGCUGAUGAUUUUGAUGAUCCUGAGGAAGAUGAAGGUUAUUUAAAGGUGAAGGAGAUUUCUUAUAUAUCAGGUGUUCCUACAUAGAUAAAAAAAAAUGGUCUAUAGGAGGUGCAUAUCUAAUUUCCCUGUUUUUUCCUUUCAUUUUUUCUCUCAUUAAAUUUUCCCUCGGCAAGUCUAGUCGAGGACGAGUGAAUGAAGGCUUGCUAAUGUUACUUUUUCCCUCAUUAAAUUUUCCUUCGGCAAGUCUAGUCGAAAACGAGUGAAUGAAGGCUUGCUAAUGUUACUUUUUCUCAUUAAAUUUUCCUUCGGCAAGUCUAGUCGAGGACGAGUGAAUGAAGGCUUGCUAAUACCCUUAAUUUUCUAUGUUAUUUGUGUAGCCAGUCACUAAGAACAGUCUAAUUGGUUCCUGUAUGACAACCCAGUGAAGUCACCAAGCCAUGAUCGCAUUGCUUCAAUCAAUUAAAAACGUUUCUAAAUCAUAAUGGUAAUUCUGCUCUUCUUUAGUGUGUUCAGAAUUGGUGUGUGUGUGUGUGUGUGUGUGUGUGUGUGUGUGUGUGUGUGUGUGUGUGUGUGUGUGUGUGUGUGUGUGUGUGUGUGUGUGUGUGUACGUUCAAACUAUUUAAACUUUGAUGUAUACUAUGUGCAGGCUAUGGAGAGUUAUUUGGCACCCUUGCGGAACGAUACAUUCUGACACCCCACUCGAGGAAUUUUAAACAAGCAAGUAACAAUAUAUAGGGUCAGUUUCAUAGGCCAACACAGUGCCACUAUAAGCCCCCUAACCAUGCUAAAUCACAUACACCCUUGUGGAACGAUACAUUCUGACGCCCCACUCGAGGGAUUUUAAACAAGGGUCAGUUUCAUAGACCAACUUCCCUCCCCUUCUGUCUCUCUCUGGCAUAUGACCACAGAUGUUGCGCCGACUAAACGAAACUUUCCAACUUCAUAGUCCAACACAGUGUCAUUACAAGCCCCCUAACCAUGCUAAGUGAUUCUACACAGUUCAUAGUGUUAACGGUUUCUCCUCAGUGCUGUACCAAAUGAGACUUCCCAUGUAAUAUCCUCAAAUUUGUUAGCAUAUUAUGAAUGCCAAAUUUGACGCUGAAUGAGAAAGUAUCAUUACAAGCUCCCUAAUGAAACUAAAUGAUUCUAUACAGUUCAUAAUGUUCACGGUUUCUCCUCAGCACUGUACCAAAUAAGACUUUCCGUGUAAUGUCCUCAAAUUUGUCAGCAUAAGAGCCUGGGUUCGAUUCCCGGGCGGAGUGGAAAAAUUUGGGCAGCUUUUCCGAUACCCUACGCCCCUGUCCACCCAGCAGUGAAUGGGUACCAGGUAUUAAUUGGGGGUUGUGUCCCAUCUCCUGGGGUCUGUUCCCUUCUCCUAUAAGUCCUUCCCCUUCUGUCUCUCUCCGGCAUAUGACCACAGUUGUUGCGCCGACCGAACAAAACUUUCCAACUUUUCCGUAAACUUUGGGAUUCGGUUCGGGAGCGGGGAAACCUGUUGCAUAUAUUGGACUGUGCGCUGACCCUAUUGACUGCUAUAGUUACCCUGUGUUGCCCUUCAGGAAUUUCUUAACAUCAUUGAUAAAUACAACAAGUGUUUACGAGUGUCCCAAGUGAGCGUAACAAAGUGUAUCGGACAGCAAGGGGUGCCAAGUGGUUUUCAAAGUGUCGAUAUUGUGAAGAAGGUGUUUUUUGAGUGUGUGUGUGUGUGUGUAGGUGUGUUUGUGUGUUAAUAUAUGUAUAUGUAUGUAUGUAUUCAAUGGUGUGUUUGUAUGUGUUUGUGUGUGUGUGUAUUGGUGUGUGUGUGUGUGUGUGUGUGUGUGUAUGUGAGAGAGAGAGAGAGAGAGAGAGAGAGAGAGAGAGAGAGAGAGAGAGAGACUGGAGGAGAAGGUAACGGAAAAAAAUAUGGAAUGAGAGAGAGAGAGAGAGAGAGAGAGAGAGAGAGAGAGAGAGUUAGAGAAAGGAGAGAAUGACACACUCUCGCUUUAUUUCAGAUGCUCUCACAGGUAGCUGAGGGAACACCUGGAACCACUUACCCCUCCCUUUCACUUUCCUUCACCCCUUUCACUUUCCUUCAGCCCUCCCUUUCUCUUUCCUUCACCCUCCUUCUUUUUCCCUCCCCUCCCUCUCUUUCCUUAAUCCCCCUCUUCCUCUUCUCUUUCUUUUAUCCCAUUUCUCACUCUAUCUUUCUCAUUUCUUUAUCUUCUUCCUUUCUCUCUCUCGUCCUCCUCUCCUUCUCCCUAUUCUUUAUUCUCUCCUCCUUCGCUCUCUCCUCCUCCUUCCCACUUCUUGUAUCCUCCUCCGCCUCCUCCUCCUCCUCCUCUUCAUCUUCCUAACCUUGCCUAUUUCCUUUUCCUCCUCCUCCUCCUCCUCUUCUCCAUCCUUGCCUCCUCCUAUUCUGAAUUAUCUACUCUUCCUCCUCCUCCUCCUCCUCUUCACUAUCCUUUCUCUCCUAUUUCUCCUCCUCUUGAAUCCAUAUCCUCUCCUUUCCUUACUCCUUUCCUUCUGCUCCUACAUCCUUAUCCUUUUCUUUACAUAUCCUUUUCCUCCUUUUUUCCCUUUCCUUCCCCUCCUUCUCCUAUCCUCAAUCCCUUCUCCUCCUUCGCUUCCAUCCUUGUCCUUCCCCACCCCCUUAGCUAACAGAUUGCUGCGGUUCCCCCUUAAAACUGCCUUGGCUGUUGCCCGUAUCAAUGGGUGUAAUGCAUAGAUGAAUGGGAGAGCAAGGAGGAGGAGGAGGAGGAGGAAGGGGAGGUGAUAGGAAGAGCAAUGGGUAGGAAACUAUCAAUCUUGGAGCAAUGUUAGGAGAGAAGAUUUGCCCGUUAGAGGAAGGAAGGAAGGGAGGAGAAAUUAAUAAAAGAAUUGAGUUACUAAAGAAAGGAAUGGGGAGUGAGGAGGAAGGGAAGGAGAUAGGCAAAGCAUUAGGGUGGAAACUAUCAAUCUCGGAGCAAUGUUAGAGAGAGAAGGUUUGUCUGUUAGAGGAAGGAAGGAAGGAGAAAUUAAUAAAAGAAUGAUUGAGUUACUGAAGAAAGGAAUGAAGGCGUGAGGAGGAAGAGAAGGAGAUAGGCAAAGCAUUAGGGUGGAAACUGAAUCUCGGAGCAAUGUUAGGAGAGAAGGUUUGUCCGUUUGAGGAAGGAAGGAAGGAAGAAGAAAUUAAUAAAAGAAUGAUUGAGUUACUGAAGAAAGGAAUGAGGGAGUGAGGAGGAAGAGAAGGAGAUAGGGAAAGCAUUAGGGUGGAAACUGAAUCUCGGAGCAAUGUUAGGAGAGAAGGUUUGUCCGUUUGAGGAAGGAAGGAAGGAAGAAGAAAUUAAUAAAAGAAUGAUUGAGUUACUGAAGAAAGGAAUGAGGGAGUGAGGAGGAAGAGAAGGAGAUAGGGAAAGCAUUAGGGUGGAAACUGAAUCUCGGAGCAAUGUUAGGAGAGAAGGUUUGUCCGUUUGAGGAAGGAAGGAAGGAAGGAGAAAUUAAUAAAAGAAUGAUCGAGUUACU